CUUAUAUUAGCUAAAAGCUUGUGUUUCAUUUAGCAAAAGCAUCUUGAACAAAAAGGACUUUGUGAACUUUUUAACACUGGCAAUUUGUAAAGGUUGCCAUUUUGAACCGACCCAAGUGACAACCUAAGUAAAAGGCUGUUCUGUAUAAGUUUCUAUAUGCAGUUAAAAAAGCCACUGUAAAGAAACAAAGAAACAACAACAGAUAAAGCAUUAAAUACAGUAAGAUGGUUAACUGCUUCAGACUACCUUUCUUUCUUCUGGUUAUUUCUGCAAUGUAGUGCCUCUGGUUACUGGUAUGACACUGAUGAUGUCAUAGAAGACUACACAAUCUUGCUUACCACUGCCAGCCUUGUUCAAGCCAAGAAACAUACACAUCUGACUUCAUAGCACUAUGUAGAGUUUUACUGAUAAGUAAGUCUACAAAAAAGAAAAAAUCUAGCAAUUAAGCUUCCAUGGAAACAAAAAGCAGACGUCUGGAGUAACCUACAUAUUACUACAUGACCAAGAAAAAUGCUAUGCUAAGUAUUAAAAUAUAUUUGCUAAGAAUAUCUCUUUAAAAUAGGAUGAUAGAGAGGAAAACAAAGAAGAAAACUAUUUUCCAAAUUUAUACAAGAUGCAGACGGCAGGAUUCAGAACAGAACUCUAGUCUCAAGAGUCCCAGAAUCUAGUUUGUUUACUAUUUUAUCUUUUUUGGAAUCAUCCCAAAAUUUAACUAUUCUGCUCUAGGCAUGUAUCAAGGGAAAACAUCAAUUUUGCUGAUUUUUUUUUCUUGUUAUGAAAUUGACCAGCCAAAUAGGAACUAUCACUGUAGCGCACCUGUAUGGCACUUACAGACUCUUCCUUCAAUUCAUCUAAAGUUUCUGCAACUAGGAUCUAGGAAAUUUCCGCAACCAACUCAACAUUCAAGAUUCUCACCAUAUAAUGCCAGAGUGGAUCACCUAAAGUACUUCAUUAAUGUCCAUAGUUUAUGUUGACAUCACAAAGCUUGCAGAACAGAUUUUGCACACAAAUUUAAGAUGUGAAUUUCUCAAUUACAAAUGCUUAAGCAAAAACUACAGCAUAGGUGCUAUGGGGACAAAAAAAAAAAAA
This is a non-coding RNA of Meleagris gallopavo (turkey), 1089 nucleotides long. The record is from RefSeq and is a predicted model, not a curated record. Lineage: Eukaryota; Metazoa; Chordata; Aves; Galliformes; Phasianidae.